GCUCAGUGAGAGAAGCAGACACAGAAGGGCACACAGGGUAUGAUUCCACUGAUGGGAAACGUCCAGAACAGGCCUAUUCACAGACACAGAAACCUGCCACAAGCUGAGCUGCAAUGACUGGCAUAGAUCAGGGAUCCAGGCAUUCAGGGACACUGGCGCUCCCUGUUGACCACCUGCAAGUGGCCUCUUCAGCCUGUCACCGCCUGCUUGUGACAUUCAGGCUGCUCUGGGGUUAUGGUGAGUGCAGACCAUCAGUGCCAAACACAUCGACAGACUGAUAGCCCCACUGGGCAUGACGAUGUGGUUGGCUCUCCCACCUGCCACCCACUCCCAUGCCCAGCCCCGCCACUGCAUCGGAGGACAACACAUGCUUCAUCAUUUCUGCCCUGUCUGUGCCCUCAGGUACGGAGCCCACAAGCAGAGCCAGGGCAGGUGCGGUAGACACAGGACUGUUUUCUUAUUAAAAAAAAAGACUCAAACAAAAGUAAGACCUGGA
Odocoileus virginianus texanus is the source of this 496-nucleotide non-coding RNA. NCBI's taxonomy places the organism in Eukaryota, Metazoa, Chordata, Mammalia, Artiodactyla, Cervidae. The record is from RefSeq and is a predicted model, not a curated record.